AACGAACGCUGGCGGCAGGCUUAACACAUGCAAGUCGAGCGCCCCGCAAGGGGAGCGGCAGACGGGUGAGUAACGCGUGGGAAUCUACCCAUCCCUACGGAAUAGCUCCGGGAAACUGGAAUUAAUACCGUAUACGCCCUACGGGGGAAAGGUUUAUCGGGGAUGGAUGAGCCCGCGUUGGAUUAGCUAGUUGGUGGGGUAAAAGCCUACCAAGGCGACGAUCCAUAGCUGGUCUGAGAGGAUGAUCAGCCACAUUGGGACUGAGACACGGCCCAAACUCCUACGGGAGGCAGCAGUGGGGAAUAUUGGACAAUGGGGGCAACCCUGAUCCAGCCAUGCCGCGUGAGUGAUGAAGGCCUUAGGGUUGUAAAGCUCUUUCACCGGGGAAGAUAAUGACGGUAUCCGAAGAAGAAGCCCCGGCUAACUUCGUGCCAGCCGCCGCAGUAA
Molecule: ribosomal RNA, 447 nt
Filed under: uncultured bacterium
Lineage: Bacteria
Description: partial 16S ribosomal RNA
Rfam family: Bacterial small subunit ribosomal RNA
Source: RNAcentral